RNAcentral lists this ribosomal RNA (498 nucleotides) under uncultured bacterium. RNAcentral's name for it is "bacterial SSU rRNA". It matches the Rfam family "Bacterial small subunit ribosomal RNA", at positions 29 to 520 of the family's 1533-position model. The record is from RNAcentral.
AUUGAACGCUGGCGGCAUGCCUUACACAUGCAAGUCGAACGGCAGCACGGGGGCAACCCUGGUGGCGAGUGGCGAACGGGUGAGUAACGCAUCGGAAUGUACCCAGUAGUGGGGGAUAACUAGUCGAAAGAUUAGCUAAUACCGCAUACGCACUGAGGUGGAAAGCGGGGGAUCGCAAGACCUCGCGCUAUUGGAGCAGCCGAUGUCCGAUUAGGUAGUUGGUGGGGUAAAGGCCUACCAAGCCUGCGAUCGGUAACUGGUCUGAGAGGACGACCAGUCACACUGGGACUGAGACACGGCCCAGACUCCUACGGGAGGCAGCAGUGGGGAAUUUUGGACAAUGGGCGCAAGCCUGAUCCAGCAAUGCCGCGUGUGUGAAGAAGGCCUUCGGGCUGUAAAGCACUUUUGGCGGGAGCGAAACGGCGUUUGCUAAUACCAGACGCUAAUGACGGUACCCGCAGAAUAAGACACCGGCUAACUACGUGCCAGCAGACCCGG